RNAcentral lists this long non-coding RNA (881 nucleotides) under Brassica rapa (field mustard). Its description in RNAcentral is "long non-coding RNA (BRAP_LNC001987)". Lineage: Eukaryota; Viridiplantae; Streptophyta; Magnoliopsida; Brassicales; Brassicaceae. The record is from RNAcentral.
AGAAACACAACUAGCACACUCUCUUAUUACACUCUAGCUUCUCUAGGCCUAUCUUAACUCUUUUUGUUCUUACACUCAUCAUCAAGCAUCCACACAUUCAAAUCAACCAACUCUCACAUUCAUUAAGCACAAAACAUCAGGUGAAUUCUUGCAAAUGGUCAGUUGGUCCAAGUCAUUUGGUUGGGUAAGGGAAGGCUUUUAUUCAAGUGAUUCAAGAGGUUCAAAACAUAUGAUCUUUAAGGUGGUUUACUCUCAAAACAAGUAGCCUUGACAUUGCACAUAAUAUAUCUAAGAAAGGGACCAACUCAUGCAUACAAUGCUCAAUCUCCAUUGUUCUACCCUUUUCCCAAACAUAUCAUUACACAAUCAUUCCCAAAUGUCAAACCCAACUCACAUCUCUCACCAAAAGAUCUUAAGAACUUUAACUCUUUCUUUUUGAAAUCUACAAGGGAUUUUUCUACAACCUCAAAACAUUUCUUAGCUCCUAACAACUUUGCUAGCCCCCUUUUCUUUCUUUUUUUUUUUUUUCGAUUUCUUUUUUUUUUUUUUUUAUAUAUAUUUUUUUUUUUUUAGGUUGGGGGCCAAGACUUUUCAAAACUAGAGCUAGAGGUUCUCUACUUAUCCCAGAAAAUCAAUUCACUUAAGCACAAAGAGUCUAUUCUUUUCCUUUUUCAUUUCUCCCAAAUCAUAAUCACAACACUCACCCCCCACCUAUAGCUAGACAAUAGAGUGCCCAAUCUAGCAAGAAUGAAGAUCAAGCAUUGUCGUUCCCGAUACUCUCAACAUUAUGCGCAUGUAAGACUUUCCGAAGAAGGCCUCACUCAUCAAACAAUGAAAGCUUAAAAGGAGGGAAAGGUUUUGGGAGUGGUCUACCACUAGAG